AUUGAACGCUGGCGGCAGGCCUAACACAUGCAAGUCGAGCGGAUGAAGGGAGCUUGCUCCUGGAUUCAGCGGCGGACGGGUGAGUAAUGCCUAGGAAUCUGCCUGGUAGUGGGGUAUAACGUCCGGAAACGGGCGCUAAUACCGCAUACGUCCUGAGGGAGAAAGUGGGGGAUCUUCGGACCUCACGCUAUCAGAUGAGCCUAGGUCGGAUUAGCUAGUUGGUGGGGUAAAGGCCUACCAAGGCGACGAUCCGUAACUGGUCUGAGAGGAUGAUCAGUCACACUGGAAAUGAGGAACGGUCCAGACUCCUACGGGAGGCAGCAGUGGGGAAUAUGGGACAAUGGGGGAAAGACUGAUGCAGCCAUGCCGCGUGUGUGAAGAAGGUCUUCGGAUUGUAAAGAACUUUAAGUUGGGAGGAAGGGCAGUAAGUUAAGACCUUGAUGUUUUGACGGUACCAACAGAAUAAGCACCGGCUAACUUCGUG
RNAcentral lists this ribosomal RNA (484 nucleotides) under uncultured bacterium. RNAcentral describes it as "partial 16S ribosomal RNA". It matches the Rfam family "Bacterial small subunit ribosomal RNA", at positions 30 to 507 of the family's 1533-position model. The record is from RNAcentral.